Molecule: non-coding RNA, 2952 nt
Organism: Salvia hispanica
Lineage: Eukaryota; Viridiplantae; Streptophyta; Magnoliopsida; Lamiales; Lamiaceae
Source: RefSeq, a predicted model, not a curated record
CGAUGUUCCCCAAAUAUUGACAAUAUCUUGUUCCCGAAUUUGAGGUUUCCCCAUUUCAAAUUUGAAGCCGAAUUUGAGACGUUAUGGUUUUCGCCAUUUCAAAGUUGAAGCUUAAUUUGAGACGUUUGGUUUUCGCCAUUUCAAAUAGUACUGUCCUUUCGUUCAAUUUAGAAACGAGGAAAAGAAUUGGAGAAGAUGAUUCUCAGAUGUUCAGAACGCCGCAGCCGAGGAAGAGGAGGGCAGAAUCUCCGCCGCAGAAAGACAAUAACGCCAACAACAAUACGCCUCAGAGCACCAAUUCUACGAGGACUUGCCGGUGCCGGAAUAUUCGCAUGACCACUGGAUUCCAGUAACCUCUGCACCUAUCAAUGCCGGCUGAUGAAUCAGAGAGAACGAAACUCCUAUAGAAAAUUUUCAACACUGAGCAGGAACCAGCUGCUGAAAGAGGAUGUGAACAUAUAUUACAGGAGCAGCUAAAGAAGGAGGUCGAUGUUUCUCAAAAACAUCUAAGGAAACAACUACAGGUCAUUCAUGAGCUUGAGAUCUGCGCAAAAAUGAUGAGUCGUCAGCGUCCAAAGCCGAAGAAAGAGCACACGUAUUAGAGGAGAAGCUAAAUGCGCAUAAAUAGGGAAAAGGGCCAUCUUCAAAAUGAGCUUAUUCAAAUGAGAAGUGAUACAAAGCUGUCUGUUUCUAGAAUAAGUGUGGAUCUUGAAAGAAUGGAAUGCACAGCUAAAAAUGGAAAGGAAGGGUCCGAACUACUGAAGGUGCUCUUAGAAGGUGCUCUUAGAAGGACUUAGAGAGCGACUGGAUCAGGUGACUAAUUGACUGUUUCACUUGUAUGGGGUUUGUGAAUUAGUUAUAGGGGAAAAGAAUAAAUUGUAUUCAUAACUAGGGAGUAGGGAGUAGAAAGGGAGUAAAAAAUAGGGUUACUACUAUGGUUAAAUUUAUUCCUAAAAGAGCAACAAGUAAAUAAGGAACUAAAUACAAAAUAUAUUCUACAACAAUCCCACUCAAGCUAGAGCAUAUCUAUCGAUCAUGUCUAGCUUGAUACAAAGUUUUGAAAGCAUGCCCAAAAUCCCACCCAACGGUUUAGUUGUCUCAUGAAACACUAGGUUAUUUGCAAUUUAGAUAGUUGCUUGAUUACCACAACACAUAGGUAAAGGUUCAUUGAAAGUGAGCCCUAGUUCCUCAAGCAACUCUUUACCCCAAUGAUGCUAUUAGAAAUGGGCCACUUACCCUCUUAAAAAGCCUAUAUUUUAAUAUGAUAUCAGAACUGAGCAGUUACCAAUUUUACCAAUUUCACUAUCCUGGUGAACAUAUAAUUGUUGAUGAUUUCAUUCUCUAUCCUUCGGUAAAAAAAUCAACUAGAGCUCGUAUUAACCUAGUCUAGAUAAGGAAUCUCACCAUUUCCUCCCCAUUUUCUUCUUCUACAAGCCUUGUAGAUAAUAACCCAAGACACGUAAGAUAGAAGGUCCAGAAGAAAAUAAGUUUUGAUAUACCUUAACGCAAUUAGUGGUGUAUGAUGGUAAAUCAUUUGGUAAAAGCUAUGAGGGCAAGACACAUUGAACUUUAUUAUGAUGUCGAUGAAGAUUAAUACAUGUCCAAGGAUGUCCAACAAGAAGAGGUCUUGGUCCCAUGCAGUUUCCUAAAGAACCCAAAUUAUAAUGGUGUGAACAAUGAUGAGUAUAUUACAAAUACUAGUAUAACAUACACCGAUAUCUUGUACAACCACCUAUCAGGGUCAAUGAACCAAACGUUUUCCAACUCGUUAUCCAAACUCGACUUCGUAUCCUGUUUGUUUUGGACGGUAUUAUAAUUCUUUUCUCCAUCCAUUUUGCACCAAUCAAUUUCUUUGUAAUUUCACUUUCUUCGAUGCUGAAUUUCGAGAAAUUGAUGGGUGCAAAAUGGACGGAGAGAAAAUUGAUAAAUGAUGCAAACCAAUCAGGUACAAAGUUGGGUUCAGAGAACGAGUUAAAAAACGUUUGGUUCAUCGAAUCAAUUGCUGCUGGUACAAGAUAUUGGAGUUUGUUAUUGUACUAGUUUUUUGCAUCAUACGCCACUGAUCAAACCAUUGGAGUUUGGGUUCUUUAGGAGACUGCACGAGACCGACCAUCUUCUUGUUGGACAUUGUUUGUUUAUGCGUAAAUCUUCCUCGACAUUAUCUUGAAGUUCAUUGGGCGUUACCAACGUAGCUUUUACCAAAUGGUUUACGAUCAUAACCUAAUUGUGCUAAGGUAUGUCAGAUCUUAUUUUCAACUCGACCGCUGAUACGGGCUAACAUGCUGGUUGAUUUUUUCCGAAGGAUGGUGAAUGAAAUCAUCAACAAAUAUAUGUUCACUACCAAGUGAAACUAGUAAUCGCUCAGCUCUGAUAUCAUAUCAUAAAUGAGACAUUUAAGGAGUGAGUGACCCAUUUCUACAUGGUAGCAGAGCGGCCUAAGUUGAUGAUGAUCUCUUUGUUUGCACAUGUGAAGGUCAGAUGUGCAUUCUGGCUUACAUGUACGGGGGCGUGUUUAAAACCCCCAAUUCUAGUCCCACAUCAACUUUUUGAUGAUCUCAUCUCAUGUAUAUAUUCUUGGAUAAUCCUCCUCCCUUAUAUAGCCUUAUAGGGGGUGUGUGGACCAUUUCUACGAGGGAAAUAUCAAAAUGUAGACUUCCUACCAUUUUUUGAUUUAUCAGAAUCAACGUCAAAUAUCCUUCAAUCUUUAGAUGAUCAAUUUUUUUAAAUGACAACCUUUUUCCAUGAAACUCAACACUUGGGAGUUGGGACUGAGACCAUAUUAGAGGAAGAACUUGGCUACAAUGCCAAUCAGGUCCACAACCUCAGGUACGACCUCUUCUACCACCACCAAGCAGAGUUUGUGCACUUGGCAUUACUAUUCUAGCUCAUGAAGUUGUAAACUUAUAUUUCCUUUUCUUAAGAUUACUUUCCAUGUACCAUAACUGAGCUUCA